Molecule: long non-coding RNA, 200 nt
Filed under: Lathyrus oleraceus (garden pea)
Lineage: Eukaryota; Viridiplantae; Streptophyta; Magnoliopsida; Fabales; Fabaceae
Description: Pisum sativum (pea) long non-coding RNA (PSAT_LNC039465)
Source: RNAcentral
AUAGAAUUUAUGGAUGUGGUGGUGUUUGUGGUUUAUGUUGUUGCAACUGAGUUUUAAAAACUAUAGGGGUUUCUAUAAUGGUUAUAUUUAUGGGUGGUGGUUGUGGAAUUGGAUUUGGAGUGGUGAAAUUGUUAUAAGAUGGAGAUGGUGUUGGUAAGAUACUUUCAGAAAUAUUAGUAUCAGAAACAAAAAGAGUUAUG